AGCGGUAAGGCCCUUCGGGGUACACGAGCGGCGAACGGGUGAGUAACACGUGAGCAACCUGCCCCUGACUCUGGGAUAAGCGGUGGAAACGCCGUCUAAUACCGGAUACGACCCGCCACCUCAUGGUGGAGGGUGGAAAGUUUUUCGGUCAGGGAUGGGCUCGCGGCCUAUCAGCUUGUUGGUGGGGUAACGGCCUACCAAGGCGAUUACGGGUAGCCGGCCUGAGAGGGCGACCGGCCACACUGGGACUGAGACACGGCCCAGACUCCUGCGGGAGGCAGCAGUGGGGAAUAUUGCGCAAUGGGCGAAAGCCUGACGCAGCGACGCCGCGUGGGGGAUGACGGCCUUCGGGUUGUAAACCUCUUUUACCACCAACGCAGGCUUCCAGUUCUCUGGAGGUUGACGGUAGGUGGGGAAUAAGGACCGGCUAACUACGUGCCAGCAGCCGCGGUAAUACGUAGGGUCCGAGCGUUGUCCGGAAUUAUUGGGCGUAAAGAGCUCGUAGGCGGCGUGUCGCGUCUGCUGUGAAAGACCGGGGCUUAACUCCGGUUCUGCAGUGGAUACGGGCAUGCUAGAGGUAGGUAGGGGAGACUGGAAUUCCUGGUGUAGCGGUGAAAUGCGCAGAUAUCAGGAGGAACACCGGUGGCGAAGGCGGGUCUCUGGGCCUUACCUGACGCUGAGGAGCGAAAGCAUGGGGAGCGAACAGGAUUAGAUACCCUGGUAGUCCAUGCCGUAAACGUUGGGCGCUAGGUGUGGGGACUUUCCACGGUUUCCGCGCCGUAGCUAACGCAUUAAGCGC
RNAcentral lists this ribosomal RNA (799 nucleotides) under Nocardiopsis sp. RNAcentral's name for it is "bacterial SSU rRNA". It matches the Rfam family "Bacterial small subunit ribosomal RNA", at positions 65 to 867 of the family's 1533-position model. Lineage: Bacteria; Bacillati; Actinomycetota; Actinomycetes; Streptosporangiales; Nocardiopsidaceae. The record is from RNAcentral.